UGGGGAAUUUUGGACAAUGGGCGAAAGCCUGAUCCAGCAAUACCGCGUGUGUGAAGAAGGCCUUCGGGUUGUAAAGCACUUUUGUCCGGAAAGAAAUCCUUGGCUCUAAUACAGUCGGGGGAUGACGGUACCGGAAGAAUAAGCACCGGCUAACUACGUGCCAGCAGCCGCGGUAAUACGUAGGGUGCAAGCGUUAAUCGGAAUUACUGGGCGUAAAGCGUGCGCAGGCGGUUUGCUAAGACCGAUGUGAAAUCCCCGGGCUCAACCUGGGAACUGCAUUGGUGACUGGCAGGCUAGAGUAUGGCAGAGGGGGGUAGAAUUCCACGUGUAGCAGUGAAAUGCGUAGAGAUGUGGAGGAAUACCGAUGGCGAAGGCAGCCCCCUGGGCCAAUACUGACGCUCAUGCACGAAAGCGUGGGGAGCAAACAGGAUUAGAUACCCUGGUAGUCCACGCCCUAAAACGAUGUCAACUAGUUGUUGGGGAUUCAUUUCCUUAGUAACGUAGCUAACGCGUGAAGUUGACCGCCUGGGGAGUACGGUCGCAAGAUUAAAACUCAAAUGAAUUGACGGGGUCAUAGCUGUUUCCU
This 586-nucleotide ribosomal RNA is filed under the name uncultured bacterium. RNAcentral describes it as "partial 16S ribosomal RNA". It matches the Rfam family "Bacterial small subunit ribosomal RNA", at positions 355 to 1375 of the family's 1533-position model. The record is from RNAcentral.